RNAcentral lists this ribosomal RNA (1347 nucleotides) under uncultured bacterium. Its description in RNAcentral is "bacterial SSU rRNA". It matches the Rfam family "Bacterial small subunit ribosomal RNA", at positions 28 to 1382 of the family's 1533-position model. The record is from RNAcentral.
GACGAACGCUGGCGGCGUGCUUAACACAUGCAAGUCGAACGGAAAGGCCCUGCUUUUGUGGGGUGCUCGAGUGGCGAACGGGUGAGUAACACGUGAGUAACCUGCCCUUGACUUUGGGAUAACUUCAGGAAACUGGGGCUAAUACCGGAUAGGAGCUCCUGCUGCAUGGUGGGGGUUGGAAAGUUUCGGCGGUUGGGGAUGGACUCGCGGCUUAUCAGCUUGUUGGUGGGGUAGUGGCUUACCAAGGCUUUGACGGGUAGCCGGCCUGAGAGGGUGACCGGCCACAUUGGGACUGAGAUACGGCCCAGACUCCUACGGGAGGCAGCAGUGGGGAAUAUUGCACAAUGGGCGGAAGCCUGAUGCAGCAACGCCGCGUGCGGGAUGACGGCCUUCGGGUUGUAAACCGCUUUCGCCUGUGACGAAGCGUGAGUGACGGUAAUGGGUAAAGAAGCACCGGCUAACUACGUGCCAGCAGCCGCGGUGAUACGUAGGGUGCGAGCGUUGUCCGGAUUUAUUGGGCGUAAAGGGCUCGUAGGUGGUUGAUCGCGUCGGAAGUGUAAUCUUGGGGCUUAACCCUGAGCGUGCUUUCGAUACGGGUUGACUUGAGGAAGGUAGGGGAGAAUGGAAUUCCUGGUGGAGCGGUGGAAUGCGCAGAUAUCAGGAGGAACACCAGUGGCGAAGGCGGUUCUCUGGGCCUUUCCUGACGCUGAGGAGCGAAAGCGUGGGGAGCGAACAGGCUUAGAUACCCUGGUAGUCCACGCUGUAAACGGUGGGUACUAGGUGUGGGGUCCAUUCCACGGGUUCCGUGCCGUAGCUAACGCUUUAAGUACCCCGCCUGGGGAGUACGGCCGCAAGGCUAAAACUCAAAGGAAUUGACGGGGCCCCGCACAAGCGGCGGAGCAUGCGGAUUAAUUCGAUGCAACGCGUAGAACCUUACCUGGGUUUGACAUGGAUCGGGAGUGCUCAGAGAUGGGUGUGCCUCUUUUGGGGUCGGUUCACAGGUGGUGCGUGCCUGUCGUCAGCUCGUGUCGUGAGAUGUUGGGUUAAGUCCCGCAACGAGCGCAACCCUUGUUCACUGUUGCCAGCACGUUAUGGUGGGGACUCAGUGGAGACCGCCGGGGUCAACUCGGAGGAAGGUGGGGAUGACGUCAAGUCCUCAUGCCCCUUAUGUCCAGGGCUUCACGCAUGCUACAAUGGCCGGUACAGAGAGUGGCGAGCCUGUGAGGGUGAGCGAAUCUCGGAAAGCCGGUCUCAGUUCGGAUUGGGGUCUGCAACUCGACCUCAUGAAGUCGGAGUCGCUAGUAAUCGCAGAUCAGCAACGCUGCGGUGAAUACGUUCCCGGGGGCU